RNAcentral lists this ribosomal RNA (415 nucleotides) under uncultured prokaryote. RNAcentral's name for it is "bacterial SSU rRNA". It matches the Rfam family "Bacterial small subunit ribosomal RNA", at positions 505 to 918 of the family's 1533-position model. The record is from RNAcentral.
GUGUCAGCCGCCGCGGUAAGACGAACCGUGCGAACGUUAUUCGGAAUCACUGGGCUUAAAGCGUGCGUAGGCGGCUCAGAAAGUUGGGUGUGAAAUCUCUCGGCUCAACCGAGGAACUGCGCUCAAAACUACUGGGCUUGAGGAAGUUAGAGGAGGGCGGAACUCACAGUGGAGCGGUGAAAUGCGUAGAUAUUGUGAGGAACACCGGUGGCGAAAGCGGCCCUCUGGGGCUUUUCUGACGCUGAGGCACGAAAGCUAGGGGAGCAAACGGGAUUAGAUACCCCGGUAGUCCUAGCUGUAAACGAUGAGCACUGGGUCGUGGGAACCUCCACAUUCCCUCGGCCGUAGCGAAAGCGUUAAGUGCUCCGCCUGGGGAGUAUGGUCGCAAGGCUGAAACUUAAAGGAAUUGGCGGGG